AAUAGAUACCCGGGUAGUCCAUGCCGUAAACGUUGGGCGCUAGAUGUGGGGACCAUUCCACGGUUUCCGUGUCGCAGCUAACGCAUUAAGCGCCCCGCCUGGGGAGUACGGCCACAAGGCUAAAACUCAAAGGAAUUGACGGGGGCCCGCACAAGCGGCGGAGCAUGCGGAUUAAUUCGAUGCAACGCGAAGAACCUUACCAAGGCUUGACAUAUACGAGAACGCUCUAGAAAUAGAGAACUCUUUGGACACUCGUAUACAGGUGGUGCAUGGUUGUCGUCAGCUCGUGUCGUGAGAUGUUGGGUUAAGUCCCGCAACGAGCGCAACCCUCGUUCUAUGUUGCCAGCGGUUCGGCCGGGAACUCAUAGGAGACUGCCGGGGUCAACUCGGAGGAAGGUGGGGAUGACGUCAAAUCAUCAUGCCCCUUAUGUCUUGGGCUUCACGCAUGCUACAAUGGCCGGUACAAAGGGCUGCAAUACCGUAAGGUGGAGCGAAUCCCAAAAAGCCGGUCUCAGUUCGGAUUGAGGU
This 528-nucleotide ribosomal RNA is filed under the name uncultured bacterium. Its description in RNAcentral is "bacterial SSU rRNA". It matches the Rfam family "Bacterial small subunit ribosomal RNA", at positions 777 to 1304 of the family's 1533-position model. The record is from RNAcentral.